GGCCAAAUAUCAAUACUUGCUUAGGGUUCACAAAAAUAAAAAUAAACCCUAAAUUACGUCCAAGACAACAAUGACACAAUGCGAGGCGAAAUGAUACAGAAAUAGAAAACACAAAAUGCGAGAACGGCUCCAAAUGACGAAACACACACGAAGCCAAAGCCACCCGAAAGGGGGAUACCAUAACUACAGCUUACCUUGCCAAAGAUCGCCUUUUUUCGGUUCGGAUAACACGAACGCAGCAAUGGAGAUAGCAAAGGACAAUGAAGGUGCGGGAAUGGAAAGAAAACGAAAGUGAAAGAGAACGUUCAAAAGCAAAGUGAAAGACACCAAAAUGAAACCGCCAAAUGAAAACUCAUAUUCGAUAUCUCAUAAUUCCUAUUCUACCCUCCUCAGUACAUUAAAAAACCAUUUUCCAUUUAAAACAUAAAACCCAAUAAGAAUUUGACACUUGGACGGUGUCAAAUUUGUG
Molecule: long non-coding RNA, 469 nt
Filed under: Vigna radiata
Lineage: Eukaryota; Viridiplantae; Streptophyta; Magnoliopsida; Fabales; Fabaceae
Description: long non-coding RNA (VRAD_LNC002559)
Source: RNAcentral